GCGACCCCAGUCAGCGAUCA
RNAcentral lists this ribosomal RNA (20 nucleotides) under Coprosma prisca. Its description in RNAcentral is "partial 26S ribosomal RNA". Lineage: Eukaryota; Viridiplantae; Streptophyta; Magnoliopsida; Gentianales; Rubiaceae. The record is from RNAcentral.